CUUACUGUUGUUUCAGUUGACUUAUCUUGUGAAUAUGCAAUAGGGGUGGCACGGUUCACAAAACCCACGGUUUGGUUCGUAUCACGGUUUUAGGGGCACGGUUUUCGAUUCUGUACGGUUCUUGUUUUCUUCCUUUACUCUUUAACAUUUCAGAGAUAUACUUCA
Etheostoma cragini (Arkansas darter) is the source of this 165-nucleotide long non-coding RNA. RefSeq lists it as uncharacterized. The transcript is spliced from 4 exons. Lineage: Eukaryota; Metazoa; Chordata; Actinopteri; Perciformes; Percidae. The record is from RefSeq and is a predicted model, not a curated record.